Molecule: transfer RNA, 19 nt
Filed under: Gymnomitrion pacificum
Lineage: Eukaryota; Viridiplantae; Streptophyta; Jungermanniopsida; Jungermanniales; Gymnomitriaceae
Also listed under: 6 other names
Description: partial tRNA-Phe
Source: RNAcentral
GCCGGAAUAGCUCAGUCGG